RNAcentral lists this ribosomal RNA (460 nucleotides) under uncultured bacterium. RNAcentral describes it as "partial 16S ribosomal RNA". It matches the Rfam family "Bacterial small subunit ribosomal RNA", at positions 338 to 795 of the family's 1533-position model. The record is from RNAcentral.
CCUACGGGAGGCAGCAGUGAGGAAUAUUGGUCAAUGGACGAGAGUCUGAACCAGCCAAGUAGCGUGAAGGAUGACUGCCCUAUGGGUUGUAAACUUCUUUUAUAUGGGAAUAAAAUGUUCCACGUGUGGGAUUUUGUAUGUACCAUAUGAAUAAGGAUCGGCUAACUCCGUGCCAGCAGCCGCGGUAAUACGGAGGAUCCGAGCGUUAUCCGGAUUUAUUGGGUUUAAAGGGAGCGUAGGUGGAUUGUUAAGUCAGUUGUGAAAGUUUGCGGCUCAACCGUAUAAUUGCAGUUGAAACUGGCAGUCUUGAGUACAGUAGAGGUGGGCGGAAUUCGUGGUGUAGCGGUGAAAUGCUUAGAUAUCACGAAGAACUCCGAUUGCGAAGGCAGUUCACUGGACUGCAACUGACACUGAGGCUCGAAAGUGUGGGUAUCAAACAGGAUUAGAUACCCGUGUAGUC